Molecule: ribosomal RNA, 484 nt
Filed under: uncultured bacterium
Lineage: Bacteria
Description: partial 16S ribosomal RNA
Rfam family: Bacterial small subunit ribosomal RNA
Source: RNAcentral
AUUGUACGCUGGCGGCAGGCCUAACACAUGCAAGUCGAGCGGAUGAGGGGAGCUUGCUCCCUGAUUUAGCGGCGGACGGGUGAGUAAUGCCUAGGAAUCUGCCUGGUAGUGGGGGAUAACGUUCCGAAAGGAACGCUAAUACCGCAUACGUCCUACGGGAGAAAGCAGGGGACCUUCGGGCCUUGCGCUAUCAGAUGAGCCUAGGUCGGAUUAGCUAGUUGGUGAGGUAAUGGCUCACCAAGGCGACGAUCCGUAACUGGUCUGAGAGGAUGAUCAGUCACACUGGAACUGAGACACGGUCCAGACUCCUACGGGAGGCAGCAGUGGGGAAUAUUGGACAAAGGGCGAAAGCCUGAUCCAGCCAUGCCGCGUGUGUGAAGAAGGUCUUCGGAUUGUAAAGCACUUUAAGUUGGGAGGAAGGGCUGCUGGUUAAUACCCUGCAGUUUUGACGUUACCAACAGAAUAAGCACCGGCUAACUUCGUG